GCCAACUACGUGCCAGCAGCCGCGGUAAUACGUAGGGUGCAAGCGUUGUCCGGAAUUACUGGGCGUAAAGAGCUCGUAGGCGGUUUGUCACGUCGUCUGUGAAAUCCUCCAGCUUAACUGGGGGCGUGCAGGCGAUACGGGCAGACUUGAGUACUACAGGGGAGACUGGAAUUCCUGGUGUAGCGGUGAAAUGCGCAGAUAUCAGGAGGAACACCGGUGGCGAAGGCGGGUCUCUGGGUAGUAACUGACGCUGAGGAGCGAAAGCAUGGGUAGCGAACAGGAUUAGAUACCCUGGUAGUC
This 300-nucleotide ribosomal RNA is filed under the name uncultured Dietzia sp. RNAcentral describes it as "bacterial SSU rRNA". It matches the Rfam family "Bacterial small subunit ribosomal RNA", at positions 496 to 795 of the family's 1533-position model. Lineage: Bacteria; Bacillati; Actinomycetota; Actinomycetes; Mycobacteriales; Dietziaceae. The record is from RNAcentral.